GAUCAUUACCGAGUUUACAACUCCCAAACCCCUGUGAACAUACCUUAAUGUUGCCUCGGCGGAUCAGCCCGCGCCCCGUAAAACGGGACGGCCCGCCAGAGGACCCAAACUCUAAUGUUUCUUAUUGUAACUUCUGAGUAAAACAAACAAAUAAAUCAAAACUUUCAACAACGGAUCUCUUGGUUCUGGCAUCGAUGAAGAACGCAGCAAAAUGCGAUAAGUAAUGUGAAUUGCAGAAUUCAGUGAAUCAUCGAAUCUUUGAACGCACAUUGCGCCCGCUGGUAUUCCGGCGGGCAUGCCUGUUCGAGCGUCAUUUCAACCCUCAAGCCCCCGGGUUUGGUGUUGGGGAUCGGCUCUGCCUUCUGGCGGUGCCGCCCCCGAAAUACAUUGGCGGUCUCGCUGCAGCCUCCAUUGCGUAGUAGCUAACACCUCGCAACUGGAACGCGGCGCGGCCAUGCCGUAAAACCCCAACUUCUGAAUGUUGACCUCGGAUCAGGUAGGAAUACCCGCUGAACUUAAGCAUAUCAAU
This 529-nucleotide unclassified non-coding RNA is filed under the name Fusarium avenaceum. RNAcentral describes it as "sequence contains 18S rRNA gene, ITS1, 5.8S rRNA gene, ITS2, 28S rRNA gene". The stretch from base 160 to 313 matches the Rfam family "5.8S ribosomal RNA". The record is from RNAcentral. Lineage: Eukaryota; Fungi; Ascomycota; Sordariomycetes; Hypocreales; Nectriaceae.